RNAcentral lists this unclassified non-coding RNA (251 nucleotides) under Hevea brasiliensis (rubber tree). Lineage: Eukaryota; Viridiplantae; Streptophyta; Magnoliopsida; Malpighiales; Euphorbiaceae. The record is from RNAcentral.
CGGUUACUUGUUUGUUUAAGGGGAAUGAGGACAAAAAAGCAUCACAGAAAUUGCUUGCCAUUAAUACAUUAAUGUAACUUUCUACCUUCUGUGCCCGUUUGAUGUAUGGAUACAAAAUUACUGGCUGUGUUAUUUUAGGGAGUAGUAGAUCCUGGAGCUCGUUUUCUUGAAAAUGUCAAUUACUUUUGAUUUUACUGCAAGGCACAAUACUUAACAAUAUCAGUUACAGGUAUUUUAGUUUAUUUUGAUUU